GUCUACGGCCACACCACCCUGAACGCGCCCGAUCUCGUCUGGUCUCGGAAGCUAAGCAGGGUCGGGCCUGGUUAGUACUUGGGAUGGGAGACCGCCUGGGAAUACCGGGUGCCUAGCUU
This 119-nucleotide ribosomal RNA is filed under the name Microcebus murinus (gray mouse lemur). The record is from RNAcentral. Lineage: Eukaryota; Metazoa; Chordata; Mammalia; Primates; Cheirogaleidae.